RNAcentral lists this ribosomal RNA (772 nucleotides) under uncultured Neocallimastigales. Its description in RNAcentral is "partial large subunit ribosomal RNA". It matches the Rfam family "Eukaryotic large subunit ribosomal RNA", at positions 20 to 643 of the family's 3401-position model. Lineage: Eukaryota; Fungi; Neocallimastigomycota; Neocallimastigomycetes; Neocallimastigales. The record is from RNAcentral.
ACUAGAGUAGCACUCGCAUAUCAAUAAGCGGAGGAAAAGAAACUAACAAGGAUUCCCCUAGUAACGGCGAGUGAAGCGGGAAGAGCUCAAAUUUGAAAUCUUAAAGGGUUUCCCUUUACGAAUUGUAGUUUAAAGAAGUGUUUUCUGUUGAGGUUUUGGUAAAAGUUCUUUGGAAUAGGACAUCAUAGAGGGUGAGAAUCCCGUAUUUGACCUUUACUUUCAACUUUGUGAUACACUUUCAAAGAGUCGGAUUGUUUGGGAAUGCAGUCCAAAAUGGGUGGUAAAUUUCAUCUAAAGCUAAAUAUUGGCGAGAGACCGAUAGCGAACAAGUACCGUGAGGGAAAGAUGAAAAGAACUUUGAAAAGAGAGUUAAACAGUACGUGAAAUUGUCAAAAGGGAAGCGUUUGACACCAGUGUUGUUUUUCUGAAAAUCAAUUAAAGAACUGUUUAUGCUAAGCUGUUUAGACUUUAUCAGCUAUCUGUUUAGUUUUGAGCUUUUCUUUAAUGCACUUUUCAGUUAACAAGUCAACAUCAAUUUCUUUUGCUGUAAAAAAGCUUGAGGAAGGUGGCUUGAGAUUCGUCUUAAGUGUUUAUAGCCUCUUGCCUACGCAGUCGGAGAGAUUGAGGUCUGCAGCGUAGAUCCUUCGGGGCUAAAUGCAUUUGUGCUAAGUUAUAGCAUUUUAUAGACAACUUGCUGACUAUGAUUUGUCUGUAGCUUACUCGCUUAUGUUAUUUUACCUACGCUUAGGAUGUUGAUAUCGCGCUCUCACUG